UUUUUGGCUUUCUUUUUUUACUUUUGUUUAUACUAUGAAAUAUUCCAAAUACAUAUAUACAUCUCUACUCCUAAUAGAGGAGUCCGUACAUCCUUUCAUUCGUUCGCUCACCCCCUCACUCCCUUACCUCCACCAGAUCCCAUCCCCACUGAUUUUUUAUCUCCCAUGAAAAACCGGUACGCAUCAAACCAGGGAGAAAAAACCCACGCUUUUCUAAUCAAAUCCAAUUUUUUUAUCUCCCCUAAAAAACGGUAGGCAUCAACCCAGGAAGAAAAAACCUACGCUUUCCUAAUCAAAUCAAUAUAUACUUCCACAUUUUCCUAAUCAAAUCAAAUCCGAUUGAUAUAUUGAUUAGAUUAGGAAACAAAACUUCUCUCCAUUGAUUAGUACAAUCAAAUCAAAUCAAAUCGAACCAACGCAGUAUCUCCCAUCGAUUUUCUUCACGAUCGCCCCCUUGUCCCGCACGAAAACACCUGGCCCAUGCAUGACCCGCAAAAAAAACAGAGAACCAAUCCACCUUGCCUCCCAUCCUCGCUUCUCCUAUCGACCUAUCCCUAGGGCGAACUGCUCCUCCGCCUCCGCCGCCGCCUACGCUGUGGGGAGAGGCCGCUGCUAUGAAUGCGCAAGAGGACGAAGGGGGCAAGGCAGCUCCAACGACAACCGCGGUCGCUGCUGAUUCAGGGCUUCAGGGCCGCGCAUGGUGUCGUCUCCGCCACCGUACAUGCGUGGAGAUGAGGCGGUGACUCGUGCUGCGGAGGGUUGGCGUGUACGAGCUCGUCGUUGGGAGGAGGUGGGCGGCCGAGGGCGUAUACGGGCAUAAGGAGCAGUUGCAGCCAUAGAUCGAGAUGGUGCUACCUCUCUGGAACCAUGCUCUCAGGUAAGCCUAUGUAAAUGCCCCUUAGGACGAUAGUAAGAUCUCCUUAUGUGUGGACAAGGCGUGGCUUGGGGAUCUGCUGAUGUUCUCCAGGCCAAGACGGUGUUGUAUAGUACUCCAUUCUGAUGCUACCGGACAUGAGUUGACUGUUGCAAAAAAUCACCGUUCUGAUGCUAUAAUGGCGAGAAUUUGGUAUUCGUGUGCCUCUCCUAAUUUCUGAAGAGUAUGAUUAUCGUUGCCUCUAAAAGGACAGAUCACAAAAAAUCAGCCCAAAUUAUGCAUCAGGGACAAAAUAUAGUACCUUGGCCUCUUACAGAACAUGGCGUCAAGCAUUGAGGCAGCCGCAUGACCAAGACGAGUUUUUGAGACUUAGAAGGUGUCAAGGGCGCCGGCCUGUCCACUCGAAGAGCGGACCGAAGGCAUCCUUUAUGAUUCCUUACAGUGAGAUCUUUUAUGAUUCUUCUCCAUGUUUUCAAUCUCAGUUGCAUGGGCCAGAUCCUUUAUGAUUUUAUUGUGUAUGCUCCAAUAUAAGCAGAAGCACUCUUGUUUUCACAUGAUAUUUUCCUAGUUUUUCUAUACACACACUAAUUAAAAAACUCGAUUUUGUAUCUCACUUCCUGUUAUGAUGAAACGACACCACACUUUCUAUACUUUCUGGAGCGUGCAACACUUUCACAUUGGAAUGGAACACAUUUUUCUCAAAUAUCCGCAUGUUCAGCACUUGAUGAUUUUUGCUUAGCAAAUUGCAAAGCAUAAGAUAAAGAGGCAGAGUUACAAUCAUAAUGACCUUCAGAGUUUACUUUAUCCAAAACUACCAAAGUUUACUUUAUCUCUCUAGAAUACAGUAGUCCUUGCAAGGAUUGAGCUGGCGAAAGGCGAGCCUACUAACUCAUACAUCAGCCAUAUAGGACACUGGAGCUUAUUUUUGGUGUUACUGUGUACACAAUAACAGUUGACAGUUUAUCACUUCUCACUGGUAACCUGCAAGAAUAGUUUUUAUAUGAAAAUUAUAUGAUUUUGCACAUGUCUAAUGCAUCUAUUUUUUUGGCACAUGGGCACAGCGGUAGGAAUUAUCCCCAGAUUGCGCCUCAGCUUGGGAAUCCAUCGGGGAUGCUACCGGUGCAAGCUAGGGACCUAGCGGCGGGGUACCUCGAAAGAACACAUGCUGAAGUACAAAGGAAGGAAAGAACCGCAACGGCGAUGUCGGUUGCUUUGUUGAUUCACUCGUGCCGCUAGGAGAAGCUACAGGGGAAGUACAUACGUGGCAUUGAAGAUAACGACGGUUGGGAGUAGGCAGCGCAGGGGGUUGCUGGGGAACAGGAGGGGCAACUUUCGGAGGAACCACUGCGGUGAUGCGAGCUCCCUCUCGCCAGCAUCCUCGACAUUGCUUGCUUGCCCACGUCACUAGAAAGAACGCGCGGACAGAAGAACAAAGAUGCCUCGCAAGUACAACUGGAGAAAGAAAAACUAUUGGAGUUCUUUUUUUAGAUGAAAUCUAUUGGAGUUGUGUCAGCAUAGAGAGAUAGUUUUUUUCCUAUAUGGGCAGGGAAAAUAUACCACUUUGUUUUUGUGCAAAGUGAGGUCUGUUAAGGAGACACGAAUACGGUCAGGGAGGAAAGAAGUGGAAGGGAGAAUCUAGGAAUGAAAAUUAUACGUCAUCGUGUUUAACUAACAUUUUUUAUUAAUAUAAUUAUUUAAUCAAUAUGUUAAUAUAUUUUUAGUCUGUGUCAACCCACGGAAAUUGGUCGGUAGUUACAAAUCAUAAUCAUAUGAAGCGAGCUUGAUACAAUCUAAAUAUGUCUAUUUUAUGUGGUGCAAAGCUUGAAUGGAGGCAUUAUUGUUUGUGGUUAGAGAAAUGUUUUAUUUUCCGUAGUCGAAUAACACAAAUUUUGACAUUGCACUAUGUGCAUCUUUCAAUAUUUGUAGUACAUGCCAUCUCUCAUGAAUGGUGAGAACCAGUUAAUUUGAGAACCAAACAUACAAUAUGUCAUUUCUUGUAUUACAGGAGUACCAUUUCAUGUAUUUACUAAAGUUUAAGAAAGAUGGUUCACAAUGGUAAGCUGAGAUGACCGACUUUUGAACUGACAAUAAUGCUAGAGCAAGGCGAAUGAAGAGAAUGCUAAACAAUAAACUAAGAAUAGAGCGAAAGCUCAACUAACUAAUCACUAAAAACUGAAAAGAAUCUUUCAAAUCACUAAAAAGCUAUAAUAUGUGAAAGUACAAGAUUCUAAAUAGUCACUGGGCACG
This is a long non-coding RNA of Aegilops tauschii subsp. strangulata, 3121 nucleotides long. RefSeq lists it as uncharacterized. Lineage: Eukaryota; Viridiplantae; Streptophyta; Magnoliopsida; Poales; Poaceae. The record is from RefSeq and is a predicted model, not a curated record.